This 443-nucleotide ribosomal RNA is filed under the name uncultured bacterium. Its description in RNAcentral is "partial 16S ribosomal RNA". It matches the Rfam family "Bacterial small subunit ribosomal RNA", at positions 338 to 795 of the family's 1533-position model. The record is from RNAcentral.
CCUACGGGAGGCAGCAGUGAGGAAUAUUGGUCAAUGGAGGGAACCCUGAUCCAGCGACGCCGCGUGAGUGAAGAAGGAUUUCGGGAUGUAAAGCUCUGUCAGCAGGGAAGAAAGCAAUGACGGUACCUGACCAAGAAGCCUCGGUUAACUACGGGCCAGCAGCCGCGGUAAUACGUAGGGGGCAAGCGUUAUCCGGAAUUACUGGGUGUAAAGGGAGAGUAGACGGCGGGGCAAGCCUGGAGUGAAAGGCGGGGGCCCAACCCCCGGACUGCUCUGGAAACUGUGUGGCUGGAGUGCAGGAGAGGUAAGCGGAAUUCCUCGUGUAGCGGUGAAAUGCGUAGAUAUUAGGCGGAACACCAGUGGCGAAGGCGGCUUACUGGACUGUAACUGACGUUGAGGCUCGAAAGCGUGGGGAGCAAACAGGAUUAGAUACCCGUGUAGUC